This 447-nucleotide ribosomal RNA is filed under the name uncultured bacterium. Its description in RNAcentral is "bacterial SSU rRNA". It matches the Rfam family "Bacterial small subunit ribosomal RNA", at positions 329 to 792 of the family's 1533-position model. The record is from RNAcentral.
AUCCAGACUCCUACGGGAGGCAGCAGUGGGGGAUAUUGCACAAUGGGGGGAACCCUGAUGCAGCGACGCCGCGUGGGUGAAGAAGUAUUUCGGUAUGUAAAGCCCUAUCGGCAGGGAAGAAUUUAGACGGUACCUGACUAAGAAGCCCCGGCUAACUACGUGCCAGCAGCCGCGGUAAUACGUAGGGGGGAAGCGUUAUCCGGAUUUACUGGGUGUAAAGGGAGCGUAGACGGCAUGGCAAGUCUGAUGUGAAAACCCGGGGCUCAACCCCGGGACUGCAUUGGAAACUGUCAGGCUAGAGUGUCGGAGAGGCAAGUGGAAUUCCUAGUGUAGCGGUGAAAUGCGUAGAUAUUAGGAGGAACACCAGUGGCGAAGGCGGCUUACUGGACUGUAACUGACGUUGAGGCUCGAAAGCGUGGGGAGCAAACAGGAUUAGAUACCCCCGUA